This 253-nucleotide ribosomal RNA is filed under the name uncultured bacterium. Its description in RNAcentral is "partial 16S ribosomal RNA". It matches the Rfam family "Bacterial small subunit ribosomal RNA", at positions 524 to 776 of the family's 1533-position model. The record is from RNAcentral.
UACGAAGGGGGCUAGCGUUGCUCGGAAUGACUGGGCGUAAAGGGCGCGUAGGCGGAUGAUACAGUCAGAUGUGAAAUUCCCGGGCUUAACCUGGGGGCUGCAUUUGAGACGUGUUGUCUAGAGUGAGGAAGAGGGUUGUGGAAUUCCCAGUGUAGAGGUGAAAUUCGUAGAUAUUCGCAAGAACACCAGUGGCGAAGGCGGCUCACUGGCCCGGUACUGACGCUGAGGUGCGAAAGCGUGGGGAGCAAACAGG